RNAcentral lists this long non-coding RNA (307 nucleotides) under Elaeis guineensis (African oil palm). Its description in RNAcentral is "long non-coding RNA (EGUI_LNC043656)". The record is from RNAcentral. Lineage: Eukaryota; Viridiplantae; Streptophyta; Magnoliopsida; Arecales; Arecaceae.
UCUCAAUUUUCACAAUGCAUCCAAGUGUCCGCCCUCCAAUGAUAAUCAACACGAAAACUGAACCAAGGACAGUGCUCCUUCUUUACCUUGCUUCAAGAGUUCUAGCCACUAGAACUCGACUAGCCUCAUACUGGUAGGUUUCUCCAAAAAACUGACUCCAUCCUCUCAGAACCUUCUCUGAACUUUCGAUUCUCCUUCUUUAGGACCCUCACAACCCUUGUUAGGACCAGAUAAGGCUUUGUCUUAAAUCCCAAAGUCUUGUCCUAAAACUGAGAUAGGUUGUAAAAAAGAAAAGAGAGCAACGGAG